UUCUAGUCAUAAACUAAAGGAACAUGCCAGAAGCAAAUAAAAGAAAAAUUAGAAAACAAAAAUUAAACUAAAAAUGAAAAUAAAAAUAUAAUAAAAAUAAAUUGCUAAAUUAAUAAAAAUCGAGUGUUCCUAAUAUCUUAGUCCCCGGCAACGGCGCCAAACACUUGAUGGUUAUUAAACUAACUAUAAUUACAACAAAGGCAAGCG
RNAcentral lists this long non-coding RNA (207 nucleotides) under Gossypium raimondii (Peruvian cotton). RNAcentral's name for it is "long non-coding RNA (GRAI_LNC000505)". The record is from RNAcentral. Lineage: Eukaryota; Viridiplantae; Streptophyta; Magnoliopsida; Malvales; Malvaceae.